GCAAAGGGAGAGUGCCUGCGGGAGCUCCCGGGUCGCUCUGAACUUGAAGGUUUCGCUUUCGUCCAACUAGGGGACAACGAGGUGGCAAUCAACUUCCUCUCCCGAGACACCCCCUGCGCGACAAGGACAGCAGGAACGCCCCCUGGAGUGCCCGAUCCCAGCUUUUCCGCCGGCCCGGGAGCGCAGGGGCCUGCAGGAGGCACCAAGAGAAGACGGACGGCCAUCCCUACAUCAAAUUGUACUGUCUUCCCCAAGCAGGCUCAGCUAGAAGGCAGAGGGGGCUGCUACACAGCGCUCAGCCACCAUUUCUGCCUUCCACCCCUGCAGAGCAUGCAGGUGUUUCCUGACAUCUGCAUGCCACCCAGUCCUACCUUUCUCAUACCCGAUGUCAGCACCCCUACCCUCCCUCCAGGCUAUAAGGAUAGGUGGGAUAGGAACCUAAGGCUGCCUGUCUCUGUGGUACAAAAUGUUUUCCUCCAUCUCAGAUGUUAGGUCUUUUAAGACGGCUAGUUAAGCAUUCUGCCAAAGAGAACUGCUGAUGAUUUAUUAUUGCUGAUGGUGCCCUUAAUGGAUUUUUAUAUAAAGACCUGCAGCAUGAAAUGACCUCAGAGACCAUUUAGUAAAAUCUCUUUAUUUUAAAAAUGACAAAAUUAUCACCCCAAGUCCAUAGUUUACAUUAGUAUUCACUUUUGGUUAUGUAUAUUCUAUGGAUUAGGACAAAUGUAUAUAUAAUGACAUGUAUUCACUAUGAGAGUAUCAAUACAGAAAAAUUUUUUUACUGCCAUAAAAAUCCUCUGUGCUCUGCCUACUAUUCCUCACUCCUUCACUGAUCUUUUUCUUGUUUCCACAGUUCAGAUGAUAAUGAUGCAUUAAUUUAGGUUCAUCGAUCGUAACAAAUGUACCACUCUGGCGGGGGGUGUUGAGAAUGGGGGAGGCUGGCAUGCGUCAGGGCAAGGUGGGUAUGAGACAUCUCUGUAUCUUCCUCUCAAUUUUUUCUCUGAACCUAGAACUGCCCUAAAAAAAAAAAAUAACAAGUCGUAAAAAAUAAGAAAAUGGAGACUUUGGGAGGCUAAGUGACCUGACCAAGGUCACAGAGCUGGUUCCCAGUGGACCAAGACUAGAAUGCAGGGGCCUUAUGUUGCAAGUUUCAUGCACCGCACAUUGCUACCCUGCAUCUCAUAAUAACAAUAAAAAGUCAGGAGAUACUUGGAAAUAGAGGAGGAUCUCCUCUAGGUCCAACUGAAUCACCCACUUGCUGCUCAUGGGGAGAAGCGGGGCAGGUACUGAAAUUUACAUCUGGGUUCUGUUUUAACACCACCCCCCACCCCCACCCCAACCACACACAACCCUGGCACCUCCACACUUCUGCUCUUGCUGUGCUCUGCCUGGAAGACUUCCUUCUCCAUCUUCAGCUGCUACUUGCUCCUGAAGGUGAAGCCUCCUUUGGGCAGAAUGAACUCCUUUCUCACAAUUCUCAACUCUGAGUACUUUGCAAAUAACUCAGUCAUAGAAUACUGUAAAUACUGUGUAAUACUGUACUCAAUGGUUGCUUAUUAGCCCUCCAAUUAGACCCUGAGCUCUGUUAAGCAGGACUAGAUCUUAAAUUACCAUCGCAUUUCCAGAGACAAGCUCUGGGAUGGAGUACCAUUUAUGUGCUCAGAUCUAAAAUUUCUUUUUUCCAGAGUACAGUUUAAGACUAGAAAACAUUAUCAAACAAAAAUAAAUACUGCUUCUUCAAUGAAGCAGCUGAUAGAAUAUAUGGAAUAUUGUACGUUUAAGAGUGCUGGUAGGGGACAAACUAUGUUAUUAUGAGGAUAUACAGAUAUUCUUUCCUUCACAUUAGAAACAUGAUUGACAAUAAAACUGUAAUUUUUCAUUGUUAUGAAACUGCUAAUAACCAUUUAAAAAUAAUAGGUAAUCAUUUGCUUUAAAAAUAAAAGAAUCAUACAGAAUAUAUAAAGUAUAUAAAGAACAGUUUGGUCCUUGGUCAUGGUACUUGCUGGGAGUCAUUUUGGAAGGUUAUAAGGCCAUCAGUGAUGAGGAGGCACAGAUCAAAUAAUGAACCUGGAAACGUCUGGUUUUAGAUUGUGAUCACAUAAAAACAAGGUCAGUCACAAAGUUAUUGCUUAUAAUCCUUGCUACUUUAGGACCAAUAUUACAUUUAAAUGUACUAAAGCAAAAAAAAAAAUACAAUAAUCUACUUUGCAAGUGUCAAAUAACCAACUGUUUGAUUCAAGAUUUUAAAAAAGGAAAUGAAUACACACCACACAAAGAUGGUUAAGCUGUUUUUUCCUGCCACCUACACAAUGUAUAAUAGUGCAUAAUUAGAAAUAAAUUUUAGGUCAAAAAACUUCACCUUUUUAAAGUAUCUUUUGCUCCACUUUAUAGGUUCCUGUGAUUUGUAUUUUCCCUAAAACACAACAUUUGCUCUGUUCAUUUACCUCAUAAGGACUUGAUAGAAA
Molecule: long non-coding RNA, 2462 nt
Organism: Bubalus bubalis (water buffalo)
Lineage: Eukaryota; Metazoa; Chordata; Mammalia; Artiodactyla; Bovidae
Exons: 2
Source: RefSeq, a predicted model, not a curated record